GUGCCAGCCGCCGCGGUAAUACGGAGGGUGCAAGCGUUGUCCGGAAUUAUUGGGUUUAAAGGGUGCGCAGGCGGUUGUGUAAGUCAGAGGUGAGAUCCCACAGCUUAACUGUGGACCGGCCUUUGAAACUGCAUAACUUGAGUACAGUUGAGGUAGGCGGAAUUGAUGGUGUAGCGGUGAAAUGCAUAGAUAUCAUCAAGAACGCCAAUUGCGUAGGCAGCUUACUGGACUGUAACUGACGCUGAGGCACGAAAGCGUGGGGAGCGAACAGGAUUAGAUACCCCAGUAGUCC
This 292-nucleotide ribosomal RNA is filed under the name uncultured bacterium. RNAcentral's name for it is "partial 16S ribosomal RNA". It matches the Rfam family "Bacterial small subunit ribosomal RNA", at positions 505 to 796 of the family's 1533-position model. The record is from RNAcentral.